Molecule: long non-coding RNA, 627 nt
Organism: Apis laboriosa (Himalayan honeybee)
Lineage: Eukaryota; Metazoa; Arthropoda; Insecta; Hymenoptera; Apidae
Exons: 4
Source: RefSeq, a predicted model, not a curated record
UAUGACAGCGACGAACAGAUAUCCGAAAGAAUAUAACAUAACCUCAAUUUCUAUAACAUAAUUCGUAUGAUCAAAUAUUUGUGCGUUUAUAUUUGGAAGAAGGUUAUAUGGAAGAAGGUGAAGUCAUAGCUAUGCUACAGAAAGAAUCGCGAAAAAAGUGCUGGAUAAGAUCUUGCACUUUUCGCUUGAUCAAAGAAUGCCAUGAAGGGAACUUGUAAGAAAAGGAUGCAUCCCUAGUGUAACGUUUCCUUACGUCACAUUUUCCUGUUUGCGAAAAAUCCGUUAUGAAGGCUCUUCGUACCAAAUGCUAUUAGUAAAUAUGAGUAAUGUUUUUGUUUCCGAAUCCUUUUUCGUAUUUCGCAUCGAAUAAUUUUUGAAAGGAUAAAUUUUAACAGAGAUCCAAAUUUCAUGUGUUACAAUGGUAAGUGCUGUGCAGAUAAAUUCACUAAAUUUCACGAUAGAAGAGUCCUUUUGAUGGGCUGCGGUGAUCGGCGAAGCGUAGAGAAUGCUGUAGCCGAAUUGUAGUAGUAAAUUUUCAGUUGCAAACUUGAUUGGCGAACAUCAAUCCACUCAACUCUCUGUGAUGAAAGGUAUCCAAAUUUGAAUUUUAAUAAUCAAAGAAGGAAA